UUUUAUGAGAGUUUGAUCCUGGCUCAGGACGAACGCUGACGGCGUGCCUAAUACAUGCAAGUCGAACGCUUCUUUUUCCACCGGAGCUUGCUCCACCGGAAAAAGAAGAGUGGCGAACGGGUGAGUAACACGUGGGUAACCUGCCCAUCAGAAGGGGAUAACACUUGGAAACAGGUGCUAAUACCGUAUAACAAUCAAAACCGCAUGGUUUUGAUUUGAAAGGCGCUUUCGGGUGUCGCUGAUGGAUGGACCCGCGGUGCAUUAGCUAGUUGGUGAGGUAACGGCUCACCAAGGCCACGAUGCAUAGACGACCUGAGAGGGUGAUCGACCACAUUGGAACUGAGACACGGCUCACACUGCUACGGGAGGCAGCAGUAGGGAAUCUUCGGCAAUGGACGAACGACUGACCGGUGAACGCCGUGUGCGUGUAGAUUGGGUUUGUAACUGAAUACUCUGGU
Molecule: ribosomal RNA, 458 nt
Filed under: Acinetobacter baumannii
Lineage: Bacteria; Pseudomonadati; Pseudomonadota; Gammaproteobacteria; Moraxellales; Moraxellaceae
Description: bacterial SSU rRNA
Rfam family: Bacterial small subunit ribosomal RNA
Source: RNAcentral